GGGGGCAACCCUGAUCCAGCCAUGCCGCGUGAGUGAUGAAGGCCACUAGGGUUGUAAAGCUCUUUUGUGCGGGAAGAUAAUGACAGGUACCAGCAAGAAUAAGCCCCGGCUAACUUCGUGCCAGCAGCCGCAGUAAUAAGCUUGAUUCGCCCGGUCAAGG
This 160-nucleotide ribosomal RNA is filed under the name uncultured bacterium. RNAcentral describes it as "partial 16S ribosomal RNA". It matches the Rfam family "Bacterial small subunit ribosomal RNA", at positions 373 to 542 of the family's 1533-position model. The record is from RNAcentral.